GACGAACGCUGGCGGCGUGCUUAACACAUGCAAGUCGAACGCUGAAGCUCAGCUUUUGUUGGGUGGAUGAGUGGCGAACGGGUGAGUAACACGUGAGUAACCUGCCUCCUUCUUUGGGAUAACGCCCGGAAACGGGUGCUAAUACUGGAUAUUCACUGGUCUUCGCAUGGGGGUUGGUGGAAAGGGUUUUUCUGGUGGGGGAUGGGCUCGCGGCCUAUCAGCUUGUUGGUGGGGUGAUGGCCUACCAAGGCUUUGACGGGUAGCCGGCCUGAGAGGGUGACCGGUCACAGUGGGACUGAGAUACGGCCCAGACUCCUACGGGAGGCAGAAGUGGGGAAUAUUGCACAAUGGGCGCAAGCCUGAUGCAGCGACGCCGCGUGAGGGAUGGAGGCCUUCGGGUUGUGAACCUCUUUCGCUCAUGGUCAAGCCGCAACAAUGGUUGUGGUGAGGGUAGUGGGUAAAGAAGCGCCGGCUAACUACGUG
This 483-nucleotide ribosomal RNA is filed under the name uncultured bacterium. RNAcentral's name for it is "partial 16S ribosomal RNA". It matches the Rfam family "Bacterial small subunit ribosomal RNA", at positions 28 to 507 of the family's 1533-position model. The record is from RNAcentral.